GUGUCGAGUUGCAGGCGGCUUUUCGAGAGCAGCGGCCCGGAGCGGUCGCGGUGGAGAUGGCGGCGACUCUGGGAUUCCGACCCUCCGGUCUCUGUCGAUUCUGUCCGCCUCAGGUUACUUGUGAAAGCCCGAAAAAGGGCUCUUUAUGUAAAAUCUUGUGAAUGCGAAAGUUUUGGUUACUCAAGCAGAAGAGCAUUUGGAGAGAAAGUAAGGAAAAGAACUCAGAACUCGGAUUGAGGAGAAAUCGUUUAGGGUCUUGCUUCGUUCCUCGAGAAAUGAGCUAGAGUUCGUACAUGCCAGUGCCUUGCUCCUACGUUGUGCUGCUUAAAGUAAGGACUGUACUGGCCCAGCAGUUGAGCGACGUAUUUACCAUCUUAUUUAGGAUAAAAUUCAAGUGCCUGCCACUGACUACGAGGCCCUAUGUGAGGCAGUUGUUGAGUCUUUUCCUAUCACCUUCCUCCUUACUACGUGAGCCACCCUGGCCUUCUUGUGGUUCUUCCUCAGGUAUAGAGAAGAAAGCAUUUGCCAGAUCAAUAGCUGCAUACCAGGUAAUAUGUUAAUUUGAUCAAGCAAUGAAACCACAUCUGGUAUAGCAACUGCAAUUGGAGGCUCCACCUGUUUAAGCUUGUGAUAAUCCACUGUCGUCCUCCAAGAUCCAGCUGUCUUCUGCAAAGGUUAAAUAG
This 683-nucleotide long non-coding RNA is filed under the name Equus caballus (horse). RNAcentral's name for it is "lncRNA (ENSECAG00000052536.1)". Lineage: Eukaryota; Metazoa; Chordata; Mammalia; Perissodactyla; Equidae. The record is from RNAcentral.